This 387-nucleotide ribosomal RNA is filed under the name uncultured bacterium. RNAcentral's name for it is "bacterial SSU rRNA". It matches the Rfam family "Bacterial small subunit ribosomal RNA", at positions 29 to 417 of the family's 1533-position model. The record is from RNAcentral.
AUUGAACGCUGGCGGCAUGCCUUACACAUGCAAGUCGAACGGCAGCACGGGAGCAAUCCUGGUGGCGAGUGGCGAACGGGUGAGUAAUGCAUCGGAACGUACCCUGGAGUGGGGGAUAACGCCGCGAAAGCGGCGCUAAUACCGCAUAUGCUCUGAGGAGGAAAGUGGGGGACCGCAAGGCCUCACGCUCUGGGAGCGGCCGAUGUCCGAUUAGCUAGUUGGUGGGGUAAAGGCCUACCAAGGCGACGAUCGGUAGCUGGUCUGAGAGGAUGAUCAGCCACACUGGGACUGAGACACGGCCCAGACUCCUACGGGAGGCAGCAGUGGGGAAUUUUGGACAAUGGGGGCAACCCUGAUCCAGCCAUGCCGCGUGAGUGAAGAAGGCCU